CUCAUCUCAUGUGGACAACACCUGACAUUUCUUUUUACUUUAAAAUCCAUGUCUCUCGCAUGCCUUGAGGAAGCAUUUUCCGAGCUGCAGAAGACUGGCUGGUAGGGGGCAGUGGGAAUGACACACAUAACCCCAGACGACAGCGGCCUCUGAGAGCUUCCAUAAAAGUACGCAGGGCAAAGGAGCGCACAGGAGCACAUCUGAGAAUGUUCACUGUGUUGAAGGAUUUUGAAGCAUGCUUUUCUCUUUUUAAAGAAAAUAAAAUCAGAAGUUGUGUAGAUCAGGAUGUGAAAGAACCUAUUUGUUAUUUAGUUCGAAUAUGGGAAGGGAGGAAGGCAGUGCACACGAACUGUGGCCUCCGGCUUCCUGCAACUCACAGGAAGGGAAACCACCCCAUCCUGGUGGGGCUCCAGGGGGCCUGACAACCAUCCCAGGGAUCCCACAGAAUCCAGUAAAGUGUUUGCUGCUACUUAUCAAAAAUGUCCUCUGUGGAAUAUGGGUUCGGGAAAGAUGGAGAAAUACAUUUGAAAAACAAAUGUGAAUCGAAGAAGCAGUUACACCGAUAACUCUCAGAACUGGCUGAAACUGACUCUAAAUUGUUAAUAAAAGUCACUCUCUUUAAGACCCUGGGUGCCAUACUUCACCUUAAGGGCUUUUGGGGAUGCUUUUCUGUUGAACUUCUAAGCAUGCAGGUGGACAACGGCAGUGGACACAACCUUAACCAAAAGCCUUAGCCUGAGAGUCUAGUCCCAAAUCAACUUUAGAGCCCUACUAAAGGGAUGAGAGCUGGAUCUUGUUAUCGAGGAGGCAACAGUUACAUAAAAACAGCUGUCAUAAAGCUUUUCAGUAAGCAAUUCUGGUCAUCAAGGAGGACAGUCUCCAAGUCUCAGAGGUUUCGGUAACUACCUGGUCAGCCCCUUUCGCUAAGCAACUGGAAAGCGAGCUCGUGGUACGCCAGGAACAGUGAAGGACAAUGGGAAAGAAGUUUGAGUGAUGCCUUUGCCUUGUGAAUAAUGAACGGUUCAGGAAGGUCAACCCAUUACAACUGAAACUGUUUAAUUAUUAAUUAUGCGCAAUCUAUGGGCAAAAGGACAAGUUCAGAAUGUUUAAUGUAUGCUAACUUCAACUGGACUCUCUCUGGGCAUUUUGUUAUUAGCACUUGUCAGCAAGGUACUCAGGCAUAGAAAAAGGCAAGCAGCAGAAAAUCUGUGUGCAUGUGUGUGCCUGUACCUGCUCACUCCGAGAGCAGGAGGAAGGGGAAGCAGGAGGAGGCGCCAUCUCAACCUUAGCUGCCACGAGUUCACAUGCAGAGUUGUUUGUCAGAAGUGCGUUCUGUGGCCUUGGAAGCAGGCAGGUCUCUUGUUGGUUAUAAGCUACCAUGCACAGCAUUACUUAGAGGUGCCUAUGUGCACAGCACACCCAUGUUCACAAUUACACUUGGACAAUAACAUCACAUACACCUCCCUCUUCAGGGGCUUAGGCAGCAUAAAACAUACCAUCUCAUACAGAAGGGAUUUCAUUUACAAAAGCAAAAUCCGUUAUUGUCCUCUUUUUCUGUGGCAUCCCAAUGCAUUUCUAUUGCUUUUUCAUCAAAUGCUGCUGCAAAUAAUCAAGCAUGACCACUGACAUCCACAAGAUUGAGUUUUAGGAACCAUUAAAUGAGCUCACCCUCAUGGGAAGUCUCUUGCUCAGGCUGGUCUAAAGGUAAUUAUUCCGCAAUUCCUACCUGUGGUAUUACCUUGUCCCUAUAUAGUGUUUGAAUUUCAUACUCUAGUAAGGUCAGUCUUUCUUUCCUCUGGAAAAGUCCAGCUACAUAUGUUUGAUCCAAGACCUAAUUGUAAUGUUAAUAUACACACUGGUAUUUCAUCGGGUACUAUGUGCACAAGUGCUGAUUAAAAUAGCUCUUAGAUUAAAGGUAGAUCAUAAAAUAUAUUAAGCCAAAACCAAACAGGAGAGCUGGGAGAGAAAAAUAGCCCUUAAUAGGUUCCUAAAUGAGAGGAGUAAUUCCUCUUUGCAUAGGUAAGGGCAUCUGAACCACAUUCACAGUGUUCAAGUGCAAGAAGCUGGCAGGUCCUCGUCCUGAAAAAUCAACAAGCCAUAACACUAUCAAGUCAGACUGAGAACUCGCUGUAAACCCGAAGUCCACAUCGCCACACUGUAUGUCCUCGAAUGUUCACUCAACUGUUAGUUAAAAUAAUUACUGCCAUUUGCCACCUGCACUGCGAGCUACAGAUAAGGGGAGAAACAGAACUUCAGUGACUGUGGCGCCUAGCACUGGUGGUAUUUUCCCUACACAUUUUAAAAGAAAUUCAAAGGCUCCAUCAGCUACAAUUCAAAGGAUGAGAAUUAUAUAUGAAUCUGUGUCAUCCUUGGUUCCAUCCAAUAAAUAACAACAGAAUUUAAAGCUGGCUGAUGAAGAUACCACGUCAGUUUAAAAUCAGUUAAUAAAAGAGGAACAAAGAGGGGGGAGAUGGAGAGAGGAAGGGAGAGGAAAUGAAGAAAAAAACAGAACUACAUACUGUGAAAUGAACAAGUUCAGUUAGAAUGUUCAUCAGGAUUUGGAAAAUCAUAAUGCCAUCUGCUACUCUGGACCUCAGAACAUCAGGGAUCUCCUGGGCCCAGACGCUUCCAUUUCCAGGAGGAAGGAAGAACUUACACUCCCUGGAAAGCUGCCUCCAUUCUGGAAUGGAGGCGACACCCCAGCCGACCAGUUUGGAAUCGCUUUUGAGAACAUUUUGCUGCUCACACACGCGUUUCCCCUGGUUUAGGGAAAAUUAACAGCAAGCAAAACGAUUACAGCAACUCGGCAGUGAGGCGGCGCAGGGACCCAGCCCGAGCUGCUGGGUAACUGACCCUGGCAUCCAACUUGGGCUCGGGGUGUGGAGGUCCCACCAUGGUGGAUUAAAUGAGCAUUGUCCUACGGCUGGGUACGACUUCACAAUAGAGCAACACAUGUUAAAUGACAGCAGCCAAAACUGGCCCCACCAGGCAACUGCCCAUUCACAGACCGCUAUUCAAAGGCCUCCACCACCAAGAAAUUAAUUCAUUAAUAAUACAUCAGGCUUCCUAGACAAUUCAAAGGCAACAACACAAAGCUACUUGUUCAGUGACUGCCUGAAGAUGCAGAAUUUUUCCUGGUUAAAAGGGCCUCACAAAUCUAAUUGACUCACUGGAACCAAAGUGAUGGGGAUGUUUAUGUUAACAAUUUGGUCAGUAAAAAAGAAGAAAUGGAGAAAGUCUAUCCACUGAAUUCAGUUGGUGCCACUAGGAAAUAAUAAAAAUAGAGAUUUGCAGCUGCAGCUAAUAAAAUCUGAUUUUACAUAA
This is a non-coding RNA of Heterocephalus glaber (naked mole-rat), 3324 nucleotides long. The record is from RefSeq and is a predicted model, not a curated record. NCBI's taxonomy places the organism in Eukaryota, Metazoa, Chordata, Mammalia, Rodentia, Bathyergidae.